Long non-coding RNA from Pan troglodytes (chimpanzee), 608 nucleotides. RefSeq lists it as uncharacterized. The record is from RefSeq and is a predicted model, not a curated record. The transcript has 3 exons. NCBI's taxonomy places the organism in Eukaryota, Metazoa, Chordata, Mammalia, Primates, Hominidae.
GACCAGGAGACUGGUGAGUCCUUGUGGAUUUCUUCCCUGCUCAAGUGCAUAAAGCAGGUGUAUUGCACAGGUAAUGAUGAGCAGUGCGAAGAUGUGACUCCAAAGCCUGGAGAAGGACAGCCCAGCAUCCCUGCAAGAGAUCCAACUGUCUUCUUUUCUGCAGAGGUCCAUAAUUUACAUGGACCUGACAAAGAAUAUUGUAACUUGCAGAAAUUAUCUUCAGUUCAAAUCCUUCAUUUUGGGGGUUUAAAUAACUUGCCCAAGAUGUCGAGGGAGCGGAAAUACUUGCUGGUCUUGCAGCGGCUGUGGAGCCUGGAAUCCUGCCAAGAAGAGCAUGUGUGAGAGAUCAGAAUGUUUGCUUACAUUCCUCCUGUGAAGGGAGUUGGGAAAUAACCUAAGAAGCCCAAUCCAAAAACAAAGAUGUACCAUCCAGUCUUCUCUGUGAGAACCAAACCACAAACCAUCUGAAUGUUCCAAAAGUGUUUUGAUGAUGUAUUGAUGUAUUUUAAAUUAUCCUGAAAAUGUUCUUGGCAGAUGCUUAAACGUGUAAUUACUGAGAUGAUGUAGAAAUACCAAGUGUUUAUUAAAACAAUACAGAGUAAUACAAA